AUACGUAGGUGGCGAGCGUUGUCCGGAAUGAUUGGGCGUAAAGGGCGCGUAGGCGGCCCGGUAAGUCUGGAGUGAAAGUCCUGUUUUUAAGAUGGGAAUUGCUUUGGAUACUGUCGGGCUUGAGUGCAGGAGAGGUAAGUGGAAUUCCCAGUGUAGCGGUGAAAUGCGUAGAGAUUGGGAGGAACACCAGUGGCGAAGGCGACUUACUGGACUGUAACUGACGCUGAGGCGCGAAAGUGUGGGGAGCAAACAGGAUUAGAUACCCUGGUAGUCCACACUGUAAACGAUGAAUGCUAGGUGUAGGGGGUAUCGACCCCUUCUGUGCCGCAGUCAACACAGUAAGCAUUCCGCCUGGGGAGUACGGCCGCAAGGUUGAAACUCAAAUGAAUUGACGGGG
Molecule: ribosomal RNA, 397 nt
Filed under: uncultured bacterium
Lineage: Bacteria
Description: partial 16S ribosomal RNA
Rfam family: Bacterial small subunit ribosomal RNA
Source: RNAcentral